Long non-coding RNA from Betta splendens (Siamese fighting fish), 1180 nucleotides. RefSeq lists it as uncharacterized. NCBI's taxonomy places the organism in Eukaryota, Metazoa, Chordata, Actinopteri, Anabantiformes, Osphronemidae. The transcript has 2 exons. The record is from RefSeq and is a predicted model, not a curated record.
UUUAACUUAAAUUGCGGUCAACUAAACAGACAGCAACUACCACUUAAACCAAACAUAACUGACCUCCAUGUCACACAAACCAGGGGUUUAUAAAGACACAGGCUAGCCUACAGCUCAAAGAAGGUAACAGAAAUAAACCGCCAAUCAACCUCAACCACUAAACUAGAUACAAAUACAAGAUUAAACAUGAAUAAUAUUUACACAAUAAACAACGUAACAACUUCAGUAACUCCCAUUAAGCAAAUCCCCAACAUAAGCCUAAUAAUAAAAUCAUAAGCGGUAGAUUCCCCCUCCAGGCACGCACAGUUGGCCUCCUCCGCUUCCUGGUCGUGGUAUUUUAAGGAGUCAUAUCAUGCUUUUCAUUCUAAAAAAUAUUAGACUUUAAUGUCUCAGUAAGGUCUCUGUAAAUUUUCAUCCCAUAAAACCCUUUAGAUCGUCCACACUGCCCCUGUCAAUGUGUGGUUUUCACUCUCCAUCAGCAAACGCUGUGUUUUCUGGGCGUGUCGCAAGCGAAGCUGCUCACCACACCUCUGUGCGGAAGCGCAUACCUUUUUUGUUGUUGUUGUUUUUUUUUAAAUUGGCUCCAUGGAUACGAGCCACCGCACGGUUAGGAUACAAUAGGUGGCAGUAGUGCGACAUUGAGAAUGCAAUCCACCGCAAUCCUCCACAGAAGAAGACCCACUACAGAACUGCACGACAUUAGUCAGCUGGUUCGUAGCGUAGUAGAACCAUACGUCUACGAUCCCGAAUCUGACCCUGAAGCUGAAGAGGAGGCUGUUGAAGUCACCACAUUUCGGCUGAUGCAAGAUGUGUCUCAUUGGUAUCUAGUCUACAGGGGCUAGUGAGCUGGUGCUGAGGAUUCCUGGGGUGAAGAAUCUGAGUUGCCAUCUCUUCAUGCUUGGGUUGUAGAUGAAGGCAGUUUCCUGAUGGAUAAAACACUAAAACACUCAUAGUAUGAUUGAUGUAGACCACCUGUAGAAUAACUCCUUUACCGUUUGAGUAAAAAUGUGUUUUUUGUGAGUGCAACACUCAUUAAGAAUUUUUUUAACUUUAUUUAUAUAUAAUUUAUAUGCGUUUUAUUUAUGGCCGCUUCAACUUUAUAGCUUACCAUAUUAGAAAGAGAAAAACAUGUAAUUUCAAUACUAUGAUUUCCUAAAUAAAAGUGUUUUCCCUUCAGAAA